Rosa chinensis is the source of this 1820-nucleotide long non-coding RNA. RefSeq lists it as uncharacterized. The record is from RefSeq and is a predicted model, not a curated record. Lineage: Eukaryota; Viridiplantae; Streptophyta; Magnoliopsida; Rosales; Rosaceae. The transcript has 4 exons.
GAAACAAAAAAAAAAAAGGAACAACAAUCAGCUCUCUCUCUCUCGUCCGAAAACACGAAACCAAGAGCAAAAAACUCUCUGAUCCUUUCCUUCCUCCACCGGCCAUCAAUCGACGCCAAACAACCUUCUGUGGCUUUGUCUCAGCCUUACGAAGCUACCUGCAGCGGUCUUGGGUCACGGCACAGCCUGAAGCGGCGGCGAAGAGGCCGGGUUCGUCCAGCCACGAUUUGAAUUCCAAGCAUGGUUGCUCGAGCUAUCGACCACGAAACCUUCUCAAACUCCAUCUACAGGUUCGCAUCAACCAUCUGAAACUCCCAGAAGCACCGUUGCACGGCGGCGCUGUCUCUGGAGGCGGCUGGAGCUCAUAAACCCGAUCGGAGAGAGAAACGGAGCAAAGGAUCCUGAUAUCUCGAGCUACAGGACGUCUUUUUGAGUGUUUCUUGGACUGGUGAACUGAGAGUGAGGAGAUGAACACCUUUCUAGAAGGGAUCGAGGCCUGAGGUUGAAGUUUUUACGUUGAAAACUCAAGCCCGCCGGAUUCUUGAAUUUUUCCGGCCACCGAAACCUUCGAUCAGGAAUAUCUCGAGCUGUAGAGCUUUGUUUUGAUUGAUUCUUGAACCAGUGAACUUGCCUUGAGUUUCUGAAGAAGUCUCCAGAAAGGAUCGAAGCGAGUGGUGGAGGUUUUUACGUCGAUCGGAGCACCUGCCGGAUUCCGGAAAAUUCCGGCCAACCCGACUGUUCUAGGUGAUUGACGGUUUUUACUGGGGCGAGCGAGUUUGGUGUGAUUGUGUUAAUUUGAAGACGCAGCGGGAGUAUCGAGGUGAGUAAACCGCACAUGGUUCAUUCACGAACCGGAGUUCUAAAUAUUUAUAUUUAAUUUUAUAAUAUUUAUAGCUGUUAACACAUGUGCGAAUGACUUUAUACAUAUUUUAUUAUUGAUAAAAUAUAUGUGUUGUUGGUUUGUGUUGAGGAAAUUAUAUAUUGAGUGAGGUGUUGAGUUUAUUGUUUGAGAAACAAUAAAUUGUUGAUUGGUUGAGAUAUAUUGAUUUGUGGAAAUCAAUAGGUCAUAGGGGUGAUCAUGGCAUCUGUUAGUGAACCACGCUCUUGUACCGAGUUGGUGGUUACUAAUAGCAUUAAAUCGUGAACCACGCUCUCGCGCCGAGUUGGUGGUUGCGAUCAGUUAGAGCUCUAGUCUGUCUGCCAAAUGUUGAGUAAUCUUAUGAGGGUAACAUGGAGUUACUUGUAACUCAUAAGUAUAUAUAUAUAUAUAUAUAUGAGAGUGAGAAAAUGACGUGGUUUUGGGGUGGUCGUUGUGAUUGUGAUAUUUCUACAAUUUCUAUGCUUAAGUUGAAAUUGUUAAUUUAAAUUUGUGCAAUCCUUAAGUUUACUCAUACGGGCUGUCAAAAGCUUACCGGGUUUGUGUUGUUGCAAUCCCGGUACACUAUUCAAACGGUGUAGCGGAUAAUCCUGCAGGUCAGGAGAAACAGGGUGGUGAUCGGGCUGCUUAGGGCAGUGGCAUUCGAGUCACAGCAUUAUUAGACUCAACUCUCACCUCUCUUUGCGAGUCGGCGUCACUCUCAUACGCUUACCUCUCUCUACCAAGUAACAAGUGACUCUAUCUUCUCUCCUCAACAUUCUGCUUUCAUUCUUUCAACCUUAUUCAGCUACAACAAAGAGAGCAUUUUUAGCCAUGAAAUUCAUUAAGAACCGACUUCAAAGUAAGAUGAGUGAUGAUUUUCUUGCAGAUUUAAUGACAGUGUAUAUUGAGAGAGAAAUUGUUGAUACCAUUUAUUCAAAUUCGGUUAUCAAUGAGUUUUAUG